RNAcentral lists this ribosomal RNA (467 nucleotides) under uncultured bacterium. RNAcentral describes it as "partial 16S ribosomal RNA". It matches the Rfam family "Bacterial small subunit ribosomal RNA", at positions 28 to 507 of the family's 1533-position model. The record is from RNAcentral.
GACGAACGCUGGCGGCGUGCUUAACACAUGCAAGUCGAACGGAAAGGCCCCUUUCGGGGGGUACUCGCGUGGCGAACGGGUGUGUAACACGUGAGUAACCUGCCCUUGACUUUGGGAUAAAUUCAGGAAACUCUGGCUAAUACCGCAUAGAAGCGCCCGCUGCAUGGUGGGGGUUGGGAAGUUUCGGCGGGUUGGGAUGGACUCGCGGCCUAUUACCUUGUUGGUGGGGUAGUGGCUUACCAAGGGUUUGGCGGGUAGCCGGGCUGGGAGGGGGACCGGCCACAUUGGGACUGGGAUACGGCCCAGACUUCUACGGGGGGCAGCAAUUGGGAAUAUUUGACAAUUGGGGGGAGCCUGAUGCAGCAACGCCGUGUGCGGGAUGACGGGCCUCCGGUUGGUAACCGCUUUCGCUCAUGGAGGAAGUUUGUGUGACGGUAGUGGGUAAAGAAGCACCGGCUAACUACGUG